UGGGGAAUAUUGCACAAUGGGCGCAAGCCUGAUGCAGCCAUGCCGCGUGUGUGAAGAAGGCCUUCGGGUUGUAAAGCACUUUCAGCGGGGAGGAAGGCGUUAAGGUUAAUAACCUUGGCGAUUGACGUUACCCGCAGAAGAAGCACAGGCUAACUCCGUGCCAGCAGCCGCGGUAAUACGGAGGGUGCAAGCGUUAAUCGGAAUUACUGGGCGUAAAGCGCACGCAGGCGGUCUGUCAAGUCGGAUGUGAAAUCCCCGGGCUCAACCUGGGAACUGCAUUCGAAACUGGCAGGCUGGAGACUUGUAGAGAGGGGUAGAAUACCAGGUGUAGCGGUGAAAUGCGUAGAGAUCUGGAAGAAUACCGGUGGCGAAGGCAGCCCCCUGGACAAAUACUGAAGCUCAGGUGCGAAAGCGUAGGGAGCAAACAGG
This 429-nucleotide ribosomal RNA is filed under the name Chloroflexota bacterium. RNAcentral's name for it is "Chloroflexi bacterium partial 16S ribosomal RNA". It matches the Rfam family "Bacterial small subunit ribosomal RNA", at positions 355 to 776 of the family's 1533-position model. Lineage: Bacteria; Bacillati; Chloroflexota. The record is from RNAcentral.